UAAUUGAAGAGUUUGAUCAUGGCUCAGAUUGAACGCUGGCGGCAGGCCUAACACAUGCAAGUCGAGCGGCAGCACAGAGGAACUUGUUCCUUGGGUGGCGAGCGGCGGACGGGUGAGUAAUACCUGGGAAAUUGCCCGGUAGAGGGGGAUAACCAUUGGAAACGAUGGCUAAUACCGCAUAACCUCGUAAGAGCAAAGCA
RNAcentral lists this ribosomal RNA (200 nucleotides) under Vibrio cholerae. RNAcentral's name for it is "partial 16S ribosomal RNA". It matches the Rfam family "Bacterial small subunit ribosomal RNA", at positions 1 to 208 of the family's 1533-position model. Lineage: Bacteria; Pseudomonadati; Pseudomonadota; Gammaproteobacteria; Vibrionales; Vibrionaceae. The record is from RNAcentral.